UUGAAAACAAGCUUUAAAGCAUUUCAUUUACACUGAAAAGGUUCUUGUUAACAUUACAAGGUUUUCAAU
This 69-nucleotide transfer RNA is filed under the name Lepas australis. Its description in RNAcentral is "tRNA-Val". Lineage: Eukaryota; Metazoa; Arthropoda; Thecostraca; Lepadidae. The record is from RNAcentral.